UUUCCGUAGACAUGCAAUUUUCUAAUUCUAUAAUCUAUAGACAUUUUUCUGUAAUUCUGAUAUCAAUGCUAGAAUUAUAUAUAAUUUGGCUAUGAAAUUCUCCGAACAGCUGCUGGGAGCAGUACCUAUUUCGAAAGAAUCAAGGAUUUGGAAAAAAUAGUAAUUUGACUAAUUUGAGGGUUAUGUACUAACUUGCAUGGAGAUUUGAAAUGAAAAAUGUCAAGAAACUGAAGAAUUUGAGUUGAUUAAAAAGAGAACGAAUCAAUAUAUAGGUCGAAUUUCAAAUUAAAUUGUAGUUUUUCUUUGCUAUACAGAGGGAUAGCGUUGUGAGUUGCACAUCUCUCGAAAGAACAGAACGGCACUGCUUAAUUGGAAUAUAAACAUAAACCCAACCAUCCUAUGUCAAAACUUCCCUUGUAAAUAAACUUGUGUAUAUAAUUUAUGGGAAUGAAUAAUAAAAAAAUGCUGUAAAGCAAAAAAAUGUGUGUUAUUUGGUCAAAGUUAUUUCAUAACCCAUCUGAGCGACAAAAUGUUAACAUUCGUGCGCUCGACAUGCCUUAGAAGAAAAUUAUAUGUUUAAUCGAAACAUAUGUUCAAAAAACAUCCAAAUUUAUAAACUCGUGUUCUCAGGAUGGAAGGAACACCACAAUCCUCAAAAAUGCCUCCCCAAAAACAGAGAUAUAUUUUUUUCCUGUACUCUUCGGAAGAUUUCUUGAUAAAAUCUUAUAGCAAAACAUGCACAAACUGAAGAGUACAUUCCAGAUGAGUUUCUAUCUGUGAUAACAAUAAAAAAUGAUAUGAACUUUUCUAAACAAAAUAUAAAACCAGGAUCAACGACGUUGUCCCCAGAUGUAAAAAUGCGAAACCUCUCAAAUGAAUAACCCUCUAAAUGACAUAUCGCAAGUAUUAAGUGAUGUUUUUUCUUUCUGAU
Harmonia axyridis is the source of this 931-nucleotide long non-coding RNA. RefSeq lists it as uncharacterized. The record is from RefSeq and is a predicted model, not a curated record. The transcript has 2 exons. Lineage: Eukaryota; Metazoa; Arthropoda; Insecta; Coleoptera; Coccinellidae.